GACCUGGAAGGCCAGAAAAGAGAAUUUAGACAUGUAAUAAUUUGUAAAUAGGAACAACAGUUGAACAAUGAGAGGGACACUUUCCCCUACUAUGAGAGUGCUAAUCAAGUGCUGCUCAUAGCCCUGGUGCCUACUGAACAGACCAUCUCUGGACAAGGGAGCAAGCUGUGGAGAAAGCAUGUGCUGGUUUUCAUGACUGCAAGUCCAGCUAGCUCAUUCUGUGGAAAAGCAGUUAGUUUCAAUGGGAGCAUGCAUCAGUGACUGCUGCUUUCCAGGUCCUAAAGCUGACACUGUGUGCCAAAAAGCUCUCACCACUGGAGCAAAUCCAUCUCAGCAUCUCCCAGCACUGUAAUGCACAAAGCAACACCGUGGGCAACAACUGCUCUCUAACAUCUGUGGCCCUUCACACCAAACAGUGCAGACAGUGCAGUACAGGAUUUGCUGGAAGAUGUGUUGGUGCUCUGAAGUCUACAUCAAGCCAAGCCAAGCAGAUCUUCAGUAGCUUUAAUGAACAGGCCACUAGUGAAACAGUGUUGUAACUCCGGGUUUAAAUAACACUUAGUAAAUGUUCUAACACACAAAGGAAUGCACACAUGUGGACAACAUCUGUUCACAAUUAUGCAUGUGUGACCCAGUUGGUUUGUAAAAUCCUUAUAAUGAUUUUGAAAUAAAGACCCAAAUUUUUAUCUGCAGGCAAGGAGGUACAGCACCAGCUGGCAGACUAACAUGCAUGUACUGUGAAGGAUAGCAGACUUGGCCAACUUAGAGGGUCCAGGUCAUAAAGUUUGCAAAACCUCAUUUGUGGGUCUUGAGUGGUCUGUAGAGCCACAGCUAGGAAAACAAAGAUCAUUUUUGUCCAUUUUUGAGACAAGAAAUCAAAUAGAUUCAAUUAGGAGAUAAAAUAUGCAAAAAUACAUUAACUCAUUAAAAGUAACAUAAAUUAUAUUGCAUUUGGGAAAUCUAAAUAUUUAUACAUUCUGUCCCACCACUACCAUUACAUAAUUGAUUUUACUGUUGCUUUAGGACAUUAAGCAAAAAGAAGACAUGAUAAAUCACUUGAAUUUUUCAUGAAAAUGUUGUUCCCAUUGCAACAGAGUUUUAGAAACUCAGAUCUAGCCCUAGAAGGAAGGAAAAGUAAAAUUCAAGCAACUCUGCCAUACAAGAGGUAUCUCAGAUUAUUGGUGACUGAAGAGCUACUACCAAGAAAUCUGAGGCAGCUACAGACAGAAAAAAAGGAACCAGAAGUUGCAGUAUUAAUAAUCUCCAAAGCACAUAUAAUUAAUGCCUACUUCAAAGUCAUUUUUACAGUUAUGCCAAGAGGUUUGCAGAUGGCAACCAAUCAGCUCUGUACUAAUGCCACUCUAAAAUACCUCCUAGAACUUCUAAGCUAAGUUACUCACAGUGUAAAUUAAUCAGUCACCAAGAUGAUGCAAAGCACAACU
Long non-coding RNA from Passer domesticus (house sparrow), 1442 nucleotides. RefSeq lists it as uncharacterized. The record is from RefSeq and is a predicted model, not a curated record. The transcript is spliced from 2 exons. NCBI's taxonomy places the organism in Eukaryota, Metazoa, Chordata, Aves, Passeriformes, Passeridae.